AGAGCAGCUCUGAAGAUAGAAGUCCUCUUUUAAUCCACAGGACAGGUACAACAUGGGCUCCAGGAAUACAAGCAACCCUGUUAAGAGUCCACCUCUGAGAAUGGGAGAGUUUUGUUCUGUUUUCAUGCUUGUUUCAGCCCAUGAAUUC
Unclassified non-coding RNA from Chelonoidis abingdonii (Abingdon island giant tortoise), 148 nucleotides. NCBI's taxonomy places the organism in Eukaryota, Metazoa, Chordata, Testudines, Testudinidae. The record is from Ensembl.